AGCUCCAAUAGCGUAUAUUAAAGUUGUUGCAGUUAAAAAGCUCGUAGUUGGAUUUCGGGGCGGCCUGGCUGGUCCGUCGCGAGACGAGUACUGGUCAGCCGCCCUUCCUCUCGAAAGCCCCGACUGCUCUUCACUGCAGUGGUCGGGUAGUUCGGGACGUUUACUUUGAAAAAAUUAGAGUGUUCAAGGCAGGCUCUCGCCUGAAUACAUUAGCAUGGAAUAAUGGAAGAGGACCUCGGUCCUAUUUUGUUGGUUUCUGGGACCGAAGUAAUGAUUAAGAGGGACAGUUGGGGGCAUUCGUAUUUAAUUGUCAGAGGUGAAAUUCUCGGAUUUAUGAAAGACGAACAACUGCGAAAGCAUUUGCCAAGGAUGUUUUCAUUAAUCAAGAACGAAAGUACGC
This 400-nucleotide ribosomal RNA is filed under the name phytoplankton environmental sample. RNAcentral's name for it is "partial small subunit ribosomal RNA". It matches the Rfam family "Eukaryotic small subunit ribosomal RNA", at positions 587 to 994 of the family's 1831-position model. The record is from RNAcentral.